Molecule: unclassified non-coding RNA, 3693 nt
Filed under: Hevea brasiliensis (rubber tree)
Lineage: Eukaryota; Viridiplantae; Streptophyta; Magnoliopsida; Malpighiales; Euphorbiaceae
Source: RNAcentral
AAAUAUACAAGGGAAUCAGAGUUAUACGUUGUGACUUUAAUUUCUGCAUUUAUUUAGAAAGCUUCAACGAGACGAAGUGGAUUAGAAGAACAGCGAUCAAUGCAUUUUCCAAAUCCCAAUUGGCCGCUUUACCCCUGUGACUCUGAGUUCAAGAUAAGAUAUGGUGGCUGCUUCUUCGGCUGUCCUAUUCCAUCCUUUGGGCAUAAAUAUCUGGGAAGGAAUCUCACUUAGCUACUGUCGAUUGUUUGUUUGUCUUCUUGUCACGUUAGCACCUGGCUUCUAUUCCUAUUUCUAGCAUUGUCGCAGGCCUCUCAGGACUCUCAGAGCAGAUUGAGAGUUCUUGAACUGGAUAUAGAAAACGAACGCCCAGAAAAUGGUGGUGGGGAGGAAAAUUCCAUAUCUUUCCCUUUCUCAGUUAUUAGUUGCAGUGUUAGCCUUUUCUUACUUGAUAGUGGCACUGGGUGCUCAAAAACAGUUGCGUUUUGGUCAAAAUGGAAAGUUCAAGAUACUGCAAGUGGCGGAUAUGCACUUCGCGGAUGGAAAGACCACGCCUUGUUUGGAUGUGUUCCCCAGUCAGAUGCAUACUUGCUCUGAUAUCAACACAACUGCCUUUAUCGAGCGCAUGAUUCGAGCUGAGAAGCCCGAUUUAAUCGUUUUCACUGGGGAUAACAUCGUUGGAUUUGAUGCCACGGACGCGGCCAAAUCUCUGAGUGCUGCAUUUGCACCUGCAAUUUCGUCGAACAUCCCAUGGGUGGCUGUUUUGGGGAACCAUGAUCAAGAAUCGACGUUGUCAAGGGAAGGGGUCAUGAAGCAUAUUGUUGGCCUUCAGAACACUCUUUCUCAACUCAAUCCUGCUGAGGCACACGUUAUUGAUGGUUUUGGAAACUAUAACCUUGAGAUAGGUGGAGUUGAGAAUUCAAGAUUUCAAAACAAAUCAGUUCUCAAUCUCUACUUCCUUGAUAGCGGAGACUACUCCACGGUUCCAUCAAUUACUGGCUAUGGUUGGAUCAAACCCUCUCAGCAGUUUUGGUUUCAACGCACUUCUGCAAACCUCCGGAGAGCAUACGCGAGCAAGCCAGAGCCUCAGAAAGGACCUGCACCAGGGCUUGUGUAUUUUCACAUCCCAUUGCCUGAAUUUGCAAGUUUUGAUUCAUCCAACUUCACAGGGGUGAAACAGGAAGGCAUUAGCUCUGCGUCUGUGAAUUCCGGUUUCUUCACGACCAUGGUGGAGGCAGGGGAUGUGAAGGCUGUUUUCACAGGACAUGAUCAUCUGAAUGACUUCUGUGGUGAGCUAACUGGUAUACAACUUUGUUAUGCUGGGGGCUUUGGAUACCAUGCCUAUGGGAAGGCUGGAUGGUCAAGGAGGGCCAGGGUGGUGGUAGCAUCUUUGGAGAAGUCAGAGAAGGGAGAUUGGGAAGCUGUUAAGUCAAUCAAAACAUGGAAACGCCUUGAUGAUCAACUCCUCACUGCUAUAGAUGGUCAAGCCCUCUGGAGCAAGAGCCCUGCAGGUAAACUCAUUUCUGUUUAAAAACCUUGGAUUGUCUUCUUUACAUGCAAGAAUUAUACUGUAUUAGACAUACAAUGGAUAUCAUCCAGUGAAGAUAUCCAUAUAGAGCAAAUCGCAUGAAAUUUUGUCUAUUAGGUUAUGCCAACAAACUGCUUCAUAUUAUGAUAGAAAUCUUCUUUCUUUUAUUGUUGGAAUAUUGAUGCUUUAUAUGUGUUUGCAUAUGUGCUGACAAUGAAUUGAAAAUUGGACUUCAGAUUGAUGAAUUACAUACUUGUUAACUUCUGUGCAUCAAAAAGAUUUUUUGCAGCCAUGCAGGCCACAUGCCUGUUAUCAAUGGAUAUUAUGUUUCAUUAUUUCAUACUUCAAUACACCAUGUGGUUGAACAUCCAUGACAAAUAACUCACAUGCCUUAUGAUGUUGAGCAUUUAGCACAUGAUCAGACAAUCAGCUAAAUUGAAAUUUACAGGCUACAAAGACGUGUGCACGUUGUCUAAACCAUCAUCUGCUAUAGUGAAACUAAAGCCAGAUGAUUCAUCAUAGAACAAAAAUAGAGAAAAUAAGGUUUUCUUUUAAUGCAAUGACUCCUGCUAAUUGUCUGAGCCAUUGUCUUAAGAUAUGAGGUAGAAAAUAUUUUAAUUUUUCUUUUGAUAGUUAAAAAUAACAAAACAGGGAAAUAAAUAUAUGGUUUUAAUUUCAUAAUAGCAGACAAUGCUUCAGCCUAUAGUUCUUUGUGGAACAAACAAUGGAGAAAAUAAGAUAUUGGAACUCGGAAGUGUACAGGGUGUUUAGACUUUAGACUCUCCCUCUGCUUUUAUGCUGGAAAAGAACUUGUGAUUUUUCUAUCAGCCCUUUCACUAAAUCAUAAAAUUAAAAUAGUCAUAUCCCUGUAACAAGGUUCUCCUAUCUCUCAUUUCUUGACAAGUGAGGCACCUUAUUACUGGUCUCAGUUCCUUUCUCUUUUGUGUGAUAUAAUCAAGGACCAAGGUCAAAGAUCGGUGCCUGUUUAAGUAAGAUUUUUGAUACACUAUUGUGCUGUUUUCUUGUACAUUUAUCCAUUUACAUUUAUAAACUUUUCAUUUGCAUUGAGCAGGAGGGCGUAGAAAGAAACAUGUUGUUGGUGCUUGAGUAAUGGAGCAUGAGAGAAACCAAGAAGUACUCGACUGGAGGUAGUAUGUUUUGAAUCUAGUUAGUCAUGAAUGUUCUGCAUGUUAUAAGGCCCUUUGCAGAUUGAGACAUGUUGCAAUGAAGUCGGUCAAAACAGGGAAAGUAAAUUGCUGGACAAUAAAUGGAUAUAUUUGUCUACAGACAGAUCAAAGAUUUGAUGAAUAAAAUGCUAUGCAGUUAUUUGUGGGCAAUGAUCAGUAAGUACUAAGCAGAUGCAGAGUUUUAGAAAGAUUGAAAUUGCCUUUUGAUGAAUGAGUAUCGGCACCUAAAAUUUAGGUCACCUAAAAUUUAUGUUUCUUGAGCUGAUUUGUUUGAUCAUAUACAUGCUAUUGCUAAGCCUGCCCUGAAUUCUGGAAUCAACUUGUGUAAAUAAGGUAAUUAAAAUGUUACAAUCAGAUAACUUGCAAGACAAAAAUUGUGCGGUUGUAGAAAGGCUGCUUGCGUGCAUUUCAUAAAAGCGGCCAUAGAUAACAAAUAGACGAGUAAUUGGACUUUUUGAUCUGCUCAUCUUGCCGCCUCUGAAUCAGAAUAUUAGCUAAAGAUUGCUGGAGACGAGUUCACGUUCCUUGACUGUAUCAUGUCUUCCUCUAUAUAUUCACCCACCAUCCAGAAAUCCAACCUCACAAUUUCUUUCUACCUUUCCAAAGAAUUAAUCUUUCUUCCUUUAUCAUGGCCUCAUUCAAGAAGAUGGUAGCCCCCUUAUGCAUGAUGAUCCUCAUAUUCUGUGUUUGGCUGUCAAUGGUACAAUCUGAAGGUGUUAAUCUUUGCCCAGGAGCAACUCCAGCUCCAGAAGAAUGCCCCAUUGCUUGCUUCCGUCCUGACCCAGUUUGUGGGGCAAACGGAGUCACCUACUGGUGCGGUUGCCCUGAUGCUUUGUGCGCUGGUGUUCCUGUGGUUAAGUUUGGAGAGUGCUAAACUCCUGGGCCUAGGCACUUCUGUUGACCCAUCUAUACAUAUUUUGUGAAGUCUGAAUCAUCAUCAUGAUGAUCAUCCUGCUGCUCAAUCGUCUCUUUUAGUGUCUG